UUUGAGACCGGCGCACGGGUGCGUAACGCGUAUGCAAUCUGCCUUACACUACGGGAUAGCCCAGAGAAAUUUGGAUUAAUACCGUAUAGUCUAUUGAUGUGGCCUCACAUUAUUAGUAAAGAUUUAUCGGUGUAAGAUGAGCAUGCGUCCCAUUAGCUAGUUGGUAUGGUAACGGCAUACCAAGGCAAUGAUGGGUAGGGGUCCUGAGAGGGAGAUCCCCCACACUGGUACUGAGACACGGACCAGACUCC
RNAcentral lists this ribosomal RNA (251 nucleotides) under uncultured bacterium. Its description in RNAcentral is "partial 16S ribosomal RNA". It matches the Rfam family "Bacterial small subunit ribosomal RNA", at positions 88 to 339 of the family's 1533-position model. The record is from RNAcentral.